This 520-nucleotide long non-coding RNA is filed under the name Homo sapiens (human). RNAcentral describes it as "PCBP1 antisense RNA 1". Lineage: Eukaryota; Metazoa; Chordata; Mammalia; Primates; Hominidae. The record is from RNAcentral.
AUGUUUCCUGAACACAAAAUGGCGACACGUGGUUAGCAUUCGUCGCCAACGAGAAAUUGGGGUCGGCCCGAAAGCUCUAGAAUGCACCCCUCUUCCUCCCCGGGGCCUUCCACCUCCGCGAGUUUUAUGACUUAAAAAAGCCCACAGGCUGGUCUGAAGACUUCCUAGCAUGGGCUGUUGUGCUGGAGAGAACGAGAGCUACGAAGAGACUACAGUGCCUCUGACUUUUUCAUAGGACAGUUGGCCGAGGAAGACAAACAUAAAGAUGAAGUGCUUAAUUCAAGGUCACACAAUGUCGGGGAUGGACCUCCAGAUUUCCUUACUGACCUGCAUUAUCUUGUGGAUACCUGAGUGAAUUCCACACCACCCAUUUUAUAGAUGAAACCACUGAGACAUGGAGCAAUUGACUGAGUAGUCACUGCCCCACCCCUGCCUGGAGCCUCACACAUGACUCGCCUCCUCUCAGUGACCACAGGAAAACAAGCUCAGGGCUCCCACUGAUUGUACAUUAUGAGACGGA